UGCAGCGUGGCGUAGUGGUUAGUGCUUUUGUUUUUGAAUUUUCAAUCCCGGGUUCGACCCCCCGGCAUGUGCAA
Molecule: non-coding RNA, 74 nt
Organism: Caenorhabditis brenneri
Lineage: Eukaryota; Metazoa; Nematoda; Chromadorea; Rhabditida; Rhabditidae
Source: the annotation of a GenBank genome assembly